This 72-nucleotide transfer RNA is filed under the name Centropyge acanthops (orangeback angelfish). RNAcentral describes it as "tRNA-Asp". It matches the Rfam family "tRNA". From Rfam's summary of the family: Transfer RNA (tRNA) molecules are approximately 80 nucleotides in length. The record is from RNAcentral. Lineage: Eukaryota; Metazoa; Chordata; Actinopteri; Pomacanthidae.
AAGACCCUAGUAAAAUGACCAUUACACUGCUUUGUCAAGGCAGAGUCGUGGGUUCAACCCCCACGUGUCUUA